This is a long non-coding RNA of Cryptomeria japonica (Japanese cedar), 1500 nucleotides long. RefSeq lists it as uncharacterized. NCBI's taxonomy places the organism in Eukaryota, Viridiplantae, Streptophyta, Pinopsida, Cupressales, Cupressaceae. The transcript is spliced from 2 exons. The record is from RefSeq and is a predicted model, not a curated record.
ACAAAGUAAAGGAGACCAAGUUGAACAAUAUGGUUUGACUUGUUAGUUUCAGCCCACAGGGACUAUAGCAGAGGCCUCUUUCAUUAACUAGUGAUUAAUGCAAUGCCAAUGCACCAAUCAAAAAUCAUUAUUUUCAAAUAUUUUUGCAUUUGCUAAUGUUCAAACCGUUAAACUUGCAUAUUAGUUAAGCAAAAUAUUCUUGACAAAUUUUGUGGCGUUUAACUACUGGUGUUGUCGAGGGUUUGCAGGGGUUCACGCAGUUCUUAGCAGGAGAGAAUGCAUGACUCCAGAGGAAGGUGCAAGGGAUGCCAAAAUAGAACUUUGACAGAUAGUGCGUUGCAGGGAUAUGGGGUUUUCAAGGAUCAAAUGAAAUCCGUUAAUAAUCCACAUGCUUCGACAGUACUUUGACAUCUUUCAUAUUUGCUUGAUAGGGUUUUGACAUCUUGCAUACAACUCCCCCCAUCCUCCCUCGACGAUCAAGAAGGUGGCAGAUAUUGGGUUGCCCACCAGACAUCUAUGUUUGCAAAUUUUAACCCUAACCGCCUCGGAAGCAAAUUUAUGUGCAAAAGUACAAGAUGGCAAAAAUCACCUAGAGGAUUUGCAACGCAACAAAAGAAUACGACAUAAAUCAUCUUCAAUUUUUUUGCAGAGCAUAAUCAAGGUAAACCCAAAGUUCCCAGACUCGGACUUGGCUCUGACUCGGCUCGGCUGACUCGGCUCGUGACUCGGCUCUGACUCAGCAAUGACUCACGUAUGAUUGCCUUACUGUUCAAACACUAUCUGCAUCUGCAUCUGACUCUAAGAUAUUCAAGUUUAGGGAUUAUUUUGGUUGCUUCUGAAAUCCCAUCUGACUUUUUCAUCGCUUCUAAAGAAGAUGCCUCCUGAGACUUUUGUUCCAUUUUUGUCGCUUCUCCCAUUGAAGAUGCCCACCAUGUUGAUUUCAUGUCUGAACCAUAGCUCAUUAUGGGCGAUGGCAUAGGCAGUCAUGCCAUAUGAUGCCCCCAAAUGCACCAGUAACAUUACAGAGCAUAUUUCAUAUAUCUCAUUCUGGUGUAAGGCCACUCUGUGCAUGCAAAAAGUUAGGGUAGGUUUUGUGAUGUCCCGUUAUUGUUACACUUCCAAUUCUGCUCAAAUAUUAUACACCAUAUACAACUCAUAUCUACGUUUCAGAGAAAAACUAUGCAUCAAAAUUACGUAAGAUGAAUUUUCCCAAGUGCAUUGCAUAUAAAUAGGAUUACCAAAUUCUGAAUGCUAGAGAAGUAUGUUGUGGUUGGGACAUCAGAACUAAUAACCAGAAAGUACAUUGCCAUCAUUAUUCACAAGUACUAAACAUUGAAUUACAACAAUCCAAUGGCAAGAUCUCCAUCUUUCAUGGAAAACACGUUUCUUGUAUGUAUUCCACACAAAUCAAGAAUUGUAGAGCCUAAUCUCAUAUAUUGUUAUAUCACAAUCACUAUUUAUUGAUUGUGUUAUAUAUAGUAAUCAAUAUCUUUGCACUUA